AGAGUUUGAUCCUGGCUCAGAAUGAACGUUGGCGGCGUGGAUUAGGCAUGCAAGUCGAACGGGCCUGAUUGAAAGAUCAGGUCAGUGGCGCAAGGGUGAGUAAGGCGACGGCAACCAACCCCAUGGUUGGGCAUAGCCGCGGGAAACUGCGGGUAAUUCCCAGCGAUGUUCGUGUCGGGCAUCCGGCGCGAACCAAAGUU
RNAcentral lists this ribosomal RNA (200 nucleotides) under uncultured bacterium. RNAcentral's name for it is "partial 16S ribosomal RNA". It matches the Rfam family "Bacterial small subunit ribosomal RNA", at positions 8 to 208 of the family's 1533-position model. The record is from RNAcentral.